RNAcentral lists this long non-coding RNA (1978 nucleotides) under Equus caballus (horse). RNAcentral's name for it is "lncRNA (ENSECAG00000041427.2)". Lineage: Eukaryota; Metazoa; Chordata; Mammalia; Perissodactyla; Equidae. The record is from RNAcentral.
GUGAGUUAUUUCUGAAGUGACUGCCAACCUGGAGAUUCUGUGAUUCAAUCUUGAAAGUCUGUAUAGUAGAAUGUCCCUGAGAUUUAAAACAAAACAAAAAAAGAGCAUCUGAGUAGGAUUGCUGUGGCUAGAUUUUUCCUUUCAGAACUAGAAGGAAAGAAGUUCAGAAACGCCUGCUGCUGACAGGGUGGGCUCCUUCCGGGUGGGGUUCUUCACCUGGCGGGUGUCCCAAGCCUUCCUUCUGGUGGGAUCUACAUCUAUCAGAUUGCUGCCUUUUCCGUGGACCAGGAUUAUUGGACAAAAGAAUGUCAAAGGUACCCAGUGAUUCUCCAGGGUUCCAGACAUAAUUUCUCUUGUCUCCUUGUGGAGCAGCAACCCAAUUUCCCUUUGGAUCAAUCACUCCUCCUGGGUCAAUUGCCCCAGCCAGUGCUCUGACCUCUUCUGCCUGUUGGCUCAUCAGUGUGAGGAACCUAGAACGAUCCAGCCACUGUUCAGUGGACCUGUGACUGAGGUUUGAGACAUACAAGUGAAUUGAUCCCAGAUCAACUUGGAUUGGAUGAAUGGAUUGAAGCCCAACCAAGGGGUCCACAAAGGAAAUUCUUCAAGGAAUUUGUUCUCAUCUAUUUUAAUCAAGGAAAUUCCUAUGCUAAAGGCCGGGAUCAUCCCUGUUCCAGGACGCCCUCACUGAGCUGCUGCUUUCUAUCUUCAAGGAGCACUGCCAAGACGUCCCUGCUUCCAGGAGCUUGGAGUGAAGAGAUCUGGCCUAUGACUGACACCAGCCUCUCCCGCCACCUGGCAGCCAAAACAACACCCUCAGUGAAGAAAUGUAUUAAUUUCUGGGCUUUCUGAAAGAAUGGAGACAGCCAUGCUGCAGCCACAGGAAUGAUGGCGUCCACUCACUGAGCAUCUGCACGGCCACACCUGCUUCUGAGUGACACUGUGUUUAUCCUCCCAACUCCACGCAAGUCAGAAUGGUCUGCUUGAGCCCAUGAGGCCCCAGGGAGAUGGAGUGGGGUUGAUUUCGUCGGUUCUGGGCCGAUCCUCAAGAAGAGCCUGCAGGGAGAUGCUGAUCCUGGCAGCCGAAGAUGAAGAGGAGGAGAUGAGGGGCCAGCACCGAGCCUGGGCGUCCUGCCAGAGCUGCCAACACCAAGUUGCAUUUUGUCGUCUGCUCCCUUUGCCUGAUUUAAUACAACCUUAAAUAAUAAUGGGAUGGGGGAAGGGGAGCGAGGGAGAAACAUCCCAGCCAAGAUUCUGUGUAACAAUCUCAUCAAACCUGGCAUUUUCCCUUUGCUAUUUGAGAAGCAAUUUCUCCUCUGAUGUAAACAUUUUUUUUUAUGAUUCCAGGCUGAGCGGCACCAGGAGCUGCUGCUCGGUGCUUUCCUCCAGCUCCCUCUGGUCCUUGAAUGGAGGCAGAAUGGGGCCUGUAACCAUGGCAAUUCUCUAAUGUUCUUCCAUAAACCAUAAACAUAGGGGGAGUCUUCAUUACAGCUUCUUCAAGGAGAGAAUAAAGCUUUCCUGGACUGGGGCAGGGCAAGGUGGUGGCGACAGGGGAGGGGAGGGGAAGAGGAGAGAGUCCAGAUUCUUCUUUGCCAAUGAGAUGAAUUGCCUGAAAAUUGGCUCAGUCCAAAGCAUGUGUCCAGCAAUUAAACAAGAUACAACCCCGGGACAGGUGCAUAAGGGGUGCUCCUUAAAUAUUUGCUGAAGGCGGGAAGAGAGGGAGGUGAAGAGAGUGAUGUGGAGGGGAGAAGAUUUGGGGAAUGGUGAAGAAUAAUGAUGUGUGGCCAGAUGGGCCCACAUUAUGAAAGGAUUUCAAGUUCUGUGACCUAACAGGCUCCUCGGAAGACUGAGAUGAUGUGUGGAUUGUCCUAUCUGAAGGCUGACAUGGCGUCCCAACUUCCAUGUAUCUCUGGUGCUGGGUACGUGGUCUCUGAGUUGUCAGCAUCAAUAAGUAUUUGUUGAAUAAAUAAAUAAAUGAAGG